Small nucleolar RNA from Ochotona princeps (American pika), 140 nucleotides. Its record names the gene SNORA74. It matches the Rfam family "Small nucleolar RNA SNORA74". Rfam says of the family: U19 belongs to the H/ACA class of snoRNAs. snoRNAs bind a number of proteins (including dyskerin, Gar1p and Nop10p in the case of the H/ACA class) to form snoRNP complexes. This class are thought to guide the sites of modification of uridines to pseudouridines by forming direct base pairing interactions with substrate RNAs. The record is from Ensembl. NCBI's taxonomy places the organism in Eukaryota, Metazoa, Chordata, Mammalia, Lagomorpha, Ochotonidae.
CCCAGCUGUAGACAACUUCCUAAGAUGCAUUGCACCCAGGCAAGUGUUGCACUGUUGAGAGAAAAGCAGCUAAUAGCUGGUGGGCAUUCUGGGCAUGGUUAAUGCUAAAUUUGUUUUAACUAUACCAGUGUGCCAACAUA